RNAcentral lists this long non-coding RNA (623 nucleotides) under Sarcophilus harrisii (Tasmanian devil). Its description in RNAcentral is "lncRNA (ENSSHAG00000031617.1)". The record is from RNAcentral. Lineage: Eukaryota; Metazoa; Chordata; Mammalia; Dasyuromorphia; Dasyuridae.
CACAGGGCGAUGGAGAGUUGCAUGGUGUGGGUCAGUGGGUCAGCAGCCACUGCCAAGAAGAAUUGGGCAAAAGUGACAAAAAGGAGAUCCAGAUGAUGCAGAUUUCAUGAGGCUGAUUGCAUCAAGGUCCAGGACGCUGAAGAGACUUCUUAACAGAAUUUGUAGUCACAAGAAAGAUAUCAAUACAUCAAAAACUCAGGCUUUCAUCCUUCAACAAUGGAUCUCAUGGGUCAUUGGAAUGGCUUUAUGGAUGUGCAGGGAGGACUACAAGGUACGAACUGACAAAACUUUGUGUAGGUUUGGAACAAUCACCCCCGUGACCAAUGAGCCCAGUUGAAAGUCUCUGACCAGACCACGAAAAAAGCACUUUCUUCACUGUCCUUUCCAUCAUUUCUCCAGUUUUCAAGCCUCCAGACUUUUGAAGUCUGUUCUUUUUUUUUUCUUGUUCUCUUUUAAAUUCCAAGCCCUGAUUUAGCUCAGGUGUAUGAACUGGCCAUGAAUCAAUCAUCAAUCAGUCAUCAUCAAUGUGAUAUUAAUGGAAUGAAAAGUAUCUAGGAUAAAGCAAGAAAUUCACAACAUAUCACAUUGUUUCACAAUGAGGAUUUUUAUACCUUGUCAAGGAG